Myripristis murdjan (pinecone soldierfish) is the source of this 144-nucleotide small nucleolar RNA. Lineage: Eukaryota; Metazoa; Chordata; Actinopteri; Holocentriformes; Holocentridae. The record is from Ensembl.
GCAGCACACCAUUAAAGCCUGGCACUGCGAUAAGUCGGUGUUGAGGUGUCGGAGGUGUGCCAAAGUGACACGGCCGAGUUUUCGCUAACACCAUGAGGACUGCUGUCCCAUGACUGGGGUUUGAUAGUGACUUGAGCCACAAUC